Molecule: small nuclear RNA, 20 nt
Filed under: Arabidopsis thaliana (thale cress)
Lineage: Eukaryota; Viridiplantae; Streptophyta; Magnoliopsida; Brassicales; Brassicaceae
Description: snRNA_17279
Source: RNAcentral
AGCCGCUCCGAUUGGACCAU